GACGAACGCUGGCGGCGUGCUUAACACAUGCAAGUCGAACGAUGAAGCCGGAGCUUGCUCUGGUGAAUUAGUGGCGAACGGGUGAGUAACACGUGAGUAACCUGCCCUUGACUCUGGGAUAACUGCGGGAAACUGUAGCUAAUACCGGAUACUUUCACUGGAAGGCAUCUUCUGGUGAAGAAAGAAUUUCGGUCAAGGAUGAGCUCGCGGCCUAUCAGCUUGUUGGUGAGGUAACGGCUCACCAAGGGGACGACGGGUAGCCGGCCUGAGAGGGUGACCGGCCACACUGGGACUGAGACACGGCCCAGACUCCUACGGGAGGCAGCAGUGGGGAAUAUUGCACAAUGGGCGCAAGCCUGAUGCAGCAACGCCGCGUGAGGGAUGAAGGCCUUCGGGUUGUAAACCUCUUUUAGCAGGGAAGAAGCGAAAGUGACGGUACCUGCAGAAAAAGCACCGGCUAACUACGUGCCAGCCGCCGCCGUAA
This 484-nucleotide ribosomal RNA is filed under the name uncultured bacterium. Its description in RNAcentral is "partial 16S ribosomal RNA". It matches the Rfam family "Bacterial small subunit ribosomal RNA", at positions 28 to 523 of the family's 1533-position model. The record is from RNAcentral.